RNAcentral lists this non-coding RNA (117 nucleotides) under Gorilla gorilla gorilla (western lowland gorilla). The record is from Rfam by way of RNAcentral. Lineage: Eukaryota; Metazoa; Chordata; Mammalia; Primates; Hominidae.
GUCGGGCAUGGUGGCUCAUGCCUGUAAUCCCAGCACUUUGGGAGGCCGAGGCAGGCGGAUCACCUGAGGUCAGGAGUUCCAGACCAGCCUGGCCAACAUGGUGAAACCCUGUCUCUA